This 630-nucleotide ribosomal RNA is filed under the name Triticum aestivum (bread wheat). RNAcentral describes it as "partial small subunit ribosomal RNA". Lineage: Eukaryota; Viridiplantae; Streptophyta; Magnoliopsida; Poales; Poaceae. The record is from RNAcentral.
AUGAGCCAUACAAUGAAGCUAUGGGAGAGAGUCAUUGAGCACCGCUUAAGAAGAAUGACAAGCGUGACCAAAAAUCAGUUUGGUUUCAUGCCUGGGAGGUCAACCAUGGAAGCCAUUUUCUUGGUACGACAACUUAUGGAGAGAUAUAGGGAGCAUAAGAAGGACUUGCAUAUGGUGUUCAUUGACUUGGAGAAGGCCUAUGAUAAGAUACCGUGGAAUGUCAUGUGGUGGGCCUUGGAUAAACACAAAGUCCUAGCAAAGUACAUUACCCUCAUCAAGGACAUGUACAAUAAUGUUGUGACAAGUGUUCGAACAAGUGAUGUCGACACCGAUGACUUCCCGAUUAAGAUAGGACUGCAUCAGGGGUCAGCUUUGAGCCCUUAUCUUUUUUCAUUGGUGAUGGAUGAGGUCACAAGGGGUAUACAAGGAGAUAUCCCAUGGUGUAUGCUCUUUGCGGAUGAUGUGGUGCUAGUUGACGAUAGUCGGACGGGGGUAAAUAGGAAGUUAGAGUUAUGGAGACAAACCUUGGAAUCGGAAGGGUUUAGGCUUAGUAGAACUAAAACCGAGUACAUGAUGUGCGGUUUCAGUACUACUAGCUGUGAGGAGGAGGAGGUUAGCCUUGAUGGCCAG